CAGGCCCACAGGGAAUAUAACAAAACGGGAGGAAUUUACCAACACUGGGGGAUACACACAAAAAUCCUCUCACUGAUCACAAAAAAAAAAAAGAGAACAGCAACACAUACAGGAGAGACCAUUACCCCCAUUUUUUCCUUUCAUUCGACAUCAAGACACGCUAUUUUGGGGAAAAAACAGAAAAGAAACUCCAAUUUUUUCUCUGCUUUUCCUUCUUCUAGACGCAUACGCACACGGAGGAGAGCUCACCAUCAACAUACAGACCCACUUCACCAUUUUGCACAUACUCUGAAAUCACACAUAAACACACACACAGAGCACGCAAAAGAAGCACACAUGCACAUCAGAUCGAAGGACAGAAAGAGAGAGUCGAGAGAAAGAGGGCAUCGAGAGGGAGAACAGAAACACCCCAUCGCACAUACUCCCUCACUGUCACUGGAAAAAAAAUCAAAGUCGACUCCAACUAAUUCCGUUCCGAUGGUGUCCACCGUAAAAUAAGCGAAACGGUGAUUUCAAACACAAUUCUGAUUUGGAGUGUUUGAGUUCUCUCGGGGAUUUAGUCAUUGUGGGAUGGGUGGUUGAUCUUUUAGGUUUUGAUAUCGAGUAGGUUGCGUUGGCUGCGGAAGUUCGAUUCGAGUUUUCGGCAUGGACUCCAUCUCGUUUAAUUGAAUAAUAAUUGAUUGAAAGCGGCAUUGAGGUCCAAUUCUUUCUUCUUCUCCUUUUUAAUCGAUUGUCAAUGUUAUUCGAUAUCAUUAUUCUAUUGUGAUUUAUUUGUUGAUGUUUGGUAUUGUUUGCGUUUGAAUAAUUGAUCCCAUGGUAUUAAUGUGAUGACAAUAUGAAUUUGGGUUUGUAUUAAAAAUGAAAUUCCGGUUGGGAAUUGAAAAAUCGUUGGUGAAUGUUGAUUAUUUUUGUUAAUUGUUGAACACAAUAGUGUUAUGUGUUAGGCCGUUAAAUAAUUAGGCAAACGGUAGGCCGGGGUUGGCAAAUUUAGAACUUGUGUUUUCGUUGAAUGUUGGAAUAUGCGUGUGAAUGUUUCUUUCUAGUUUAUCGUAUUUAAUUCAAAUGUAUCCAUUUAGCUGGGGAAUACCCCGAGACAUAUUUUAUUUAUUCACUGAGGAAUGCCCCGACGUAUUAUGUUGGCGGAGGACGUUCGUGAUGAAGGCCCGAGGCAUCGGGUAAAACAUUGGAGCAUAGUUUAGGAUUAGUCUAGAAUAGGAUUUUAUAUUUUUCGCAUUUUUCUAUUUUUGACUGAAUAAUUGGACUGAAUAUUUUUUUUUUUGAAUUUUGUUUGAUUUGUUUGUUUGCUUGUUUUGUAUGUUUAUGUGGUUUAUACAUUUUAUAAUGUCAAAUUAGUCGAUACGUUCCACCAAGAGACCAUGGUCGAACCACAGGAUCGGGGGGUGCCUAACACCUUCCCCUCAGUCAACAGAAUUCUUUAGCCGGAAUCUCUGUUCACAAACCAGUUUCAAAGAGUCAAACAGUUUUGAAAAGGAUUUUACAAAGGUGACUUGGCACACCGGAUUAUGCCAAGUGGCGACUCUGAAUAAAAAAAUUGUAAAUACUCCUUUUUCGAAACAACCUAUUUUUUGUCACUUGAAUAAUAAAAAUCCUUUCGAACCUUAAAUAAUAUCUUUUGGGUAAAAAAGGAUGUGACAUAUUGCACUAAUUGUAGAAAUAAUUAUUAAUUUUGCUCUUUUGAUGAAAUGGAAGAUGACCCAUUUCGCGUUUGUGUUGAAAUAAUUGUUAAUUUUAUUAUUUUGAUGGAAUUGAAGAUGACCCAUUUGGUGUUUGUUGAAAUAAUGGUUAAUUGAGUUAUUUGUUAUGAAAUUACAGAUGAUUCAUUCGGUGUGUGUGCGGAGUAACUAUGGUGUUGUUUUGUUGAAGAGAAGGAAAGAAAGAAAGAAGAGAGAAUACAAAGAAGCAG
RNAcentral lists this long non-coding RNA (1924 nucleotides) under Capsicum annuum. Its description in RNAcentral is "long non-coding RNA (CANN_LNC021577)". The record is from RNAcentral. Lineage: Eukaryota; Viridiplantae; Streptophyta; Magnoliopsida; Solanales; Solanaceae.